This 85-nucleotide transfer RNA is filed under the name Gammaproteobacteria bacterium. RNAcentral describes it as "tRNA-Tyr". It matches the Rfam family "tRNA". From Rfam's summary of the family: Transfer RNA (tRNA) molecules are approximately 80 nucleotides in length. Their secondary structure includes four short double-helical elements and three loops (D, anti-codon, and T loops). The record is from RNAcentral. Lineage: Bacteria; Pseudomonadati; Pseudomonadota; Gammaproteobacteria.
GGGGAGGCGGCGAAGGUGGUGAGUCGCGUCGGUCUGUAAAAUCGAUGCCGUACGGCUAUGAGAGUCCGAAUCUCUCCCUCCCCAC